CAGCCAAACAUGGCAGUCGAGAUUAGCUAGCGAUUAUUAAACACCACAUAAUGAGCACAUUUAGACCUUUUUGCACAUUCAUUUACAGUUUGAUUUAGUUCAUACGGUACGAGGGGUGUCUUAAUGUAAAAAAAAUACGCGAUCUGUUGAAUAUCUCACAGAAACGCAAGCUUGUUCGCUAACUUAAACUAGCUGGUUAGCUAGCUGGCUAAUUCACCCCAUCCAGCGAAUAAAAUUACUGGCUAACCGUCUGCGAGUUUCAGGGCUGUGUUUUUGCUGGACAGUGAAGCAUCGUCACCAUGCUUUUGUCCCGGAUGAAACCUGCAGUGUCUGGUGAGGCGUCCACCAAUUCUAGCGAGAAGAAAAGAAAAAAUAAAACAAAACAAUUUCCAAGACUUGAGGAUUAUCUAAGCCAAAGAGACUACCUGGGUUCCCUGACUUUGUUAGAGUUCCAGCGUAAUGGCGGCGUGUCAGUGGAGCAUUCAGACCUUUGGAUCGGCUACUGUGCCUUUCAUUUGGGGGACCACAAGAGAGCAAUGGAGGAGUACAAAGCCCUCACUCUGAGGCCAGAUUGUCCAGUGGAUGUGUGGGUAUAUCUGGGCUGUUCCCUCUUUUUCCUGGGGCUUUAUAAAGAAGCUGAGGAGGCCGCAUUAAAAGGACUGAAGACUCAACUUCAAAAUCGCCUGCUUUUUCAUUUAGCACAUAAGUUUAAUGAUGAAAAGAAGCUGAUGGGUUUCCAUCAGAACCUGGAAGAUGUGACAGAAGAUCAGCUGAGUUUGGCCUCCAUUCACUACAUGCGCUCUCACUAUCAGGAGGCCAUUGACACCUACAAACGGAUCUUACUGCAAAACAGAGACUUGCUUGCCCUGAAUGUGUAUGUAGCUUUGUGCUACUAUAAACUGGAUUAUUAUGACGUAUCUCAGGAGGUUUUGGCUGUGUAUCUGCAGAGUAUUCCCGACUCUACCGUCGCCCUCAACCUUAAAGCCUGCAACCACUUCAGACUGUAUAACGGCAAAGCUGCUGAGACAGAGUUGAAGAACCUGAUUGAUAUCUCCUCCAGCUCUUUUCAGUUUGCUAAAGAGCUUAUCCAGCACAAUCUGGUGGUGUUUCGUGGGGGUGAGGGAGCUCUGCAAGUUUUACCUCCUCUGAUUGACGUCAUAUCAGAGGCCAGACUCAACCUGGUCAUCUACUAUCUUAGACAAGAUGAUAUUCAGGAGGCCUACAAACUUAUCAAAGACCUUGAGCCCACCACACCCCAGGAAUAUAUUCUGAAGGGAGUGGUAAAUGCUUCUUUGGGACAAGAAAUUGGAUCGAGGGACCAUUUAAAAAUUGCCCAGCAGUUUUUCCAGUUGGUUGGAGGCUCAGCCAGUGAAUGUGACACAAUACCUGGAAGGCAGUGCAUGGCCUCUUGUUUCUUCCUGCUGAAGCAGUUUAAAGAUGUGCUAAUAUAUCUCAAUUCAGUCAAGAAUUACUUUUACAAUGAUGACAGUUUCAACUUCAACUAUGCCCAGGCCAAGGCUUCCAUGGGAAACUACCGGGAGGCUGAAGAGGUUUUCCUGCUCAUCCAGAGUGAGAAGAUCAAGAAUGACUAUGUUUACCUGAGCUGGUUAGCUCACUGCUACAUCAUGAAUCAGAAGGCUCGUCAGGCCUGGGAGCUGUAUCUGAGGAUAGAAACAUCAUCUGACUCAUUCAGCCUCCUGCAGCUCAUCGCAAAUGACUGCUAUAAGCUUCCAGUUGGCCCUUGUCCCUCUCUGAGGCUUGAUUAGCCUGAUUAGGGGCCGGGUGUGCGGAAUCACGACCUGCCCUCCGCCCUGUCACAUUCCUCCCUUGUUCUUUCAGGCCGGGGAGCCCCCGGCAUAACGUGCACCCCUCCCUUUCACUGCGGAGGGGCGUGCCUUCCGCACCGUCUACUGGCAGGUCAUCCCUGUCUACCUGGAUGAGGGAGGAUUUAAGGGGAGGGAAACAAAAAUAAGUGUGGCACCUACAUGCCAUAAUGACGAUCGUGACAAAUUAACAAAAAACAUUUUAAAAAGAGAGGGAAAGGCCAACAGGGAGCGACAGUGGAAGAGCGAGAGGAAAGAGAAAAAAAACACUUACUCACCGGUUCUCCGAUACGCCGUAGCUUGGUCACUCCCCCACCCUCUAAUGGAUGACAGCCGUGCUUCCCCGGACGGAUCAACGGCAUACCUCCGGCCCCUGGUGGACGGAACAUCCCGCCACAUUUUUGGUGGACGAUGGGGCAGUUCUAUUAUGCAGCUA
RNA transcript from Xyrauchen texanus (razorback sucker), 2259 nucleotides. It is a transcript of the gene named intraflagellar transport protein 56-like, with no coding region annotated. The record is from RefSeq and is a predicted model, not a curated record. The transcript is spliced from 18 exons. NCBI's taxonomy places the organism in Eukaryota, Metazoa, Chordata, Actinopteri, Cypriniformes, Catostomidae.